Molecule: ribosomal RNA, 1026 nt
Filed under: Triticum aestivum (bread wheat)
Lineage: Eukaryota; Viridiplantae; Streptophyta; Magnoliopsida; Poales; Poaceae
Description: partial small subunit ribosomal RNA
Source: RNAcentral
AUGGCUCUCAUAAGGGAGAAGAGGCUUCCGCAGCUCCACCUCGCACUGCCCGUCCCGCCGUGCGCCCCCGUCCAGGAGCUCGGCUGUUAGCGUCCAACUCGGCCUAGCCCACACUCACUAACAUUGGCGGCCAAGGCCUCCACCCCGUCGACGUUGUCCAGCCAGUUCCGCCUCGCUGACUUCGACAAGCUCGCCGUCCUGGGCCGCGGGAACGGCGGCACCGUCUACAAGGUCCGCCAUCGGAAGACGAGCGCACUCUACGCGCUCAAGGUCCAGCACUACGGCGACCCCGCCGCCGCCGCCAAGGCGGACGUUCUCAGCCGCACUGCCUCGCCAUUCGUCGUCCGGUGGCACUCCGUGCUCCUUGCCACAGCAUCUGGCGACGCCCCCCUGCUCCUCGAGCUGGUCGACGGGGGGUCCAUCAACUCCGUCAGGAGCCGCCGCGGCGCGUUCACGGAGGCCGCCCUCACGGAGGUGACAACGCAGGUGCUGUCGGGGCUGGCGUACCUCCACGCCCGCCGCAUCAUGCACCUCGACAUCAAGCCGGCCAACCUCCUCGUGAGCACCGCCGGGGAGGUCAAGGUCGCCGACUUCGGCAUCGCCGAGCUGCUCGCCCGCACCGGCGAGCACUACGCGUCGUACAUCGGCACCUCCGCGUACAUGAGCCUGGAGCACUUCGACCAGGAGGCGCACCCAGGGCCCUAUGAUCCGUACGCCGCCGACGUGUGGAGCCUGGGUGUCACACUCCUUGAGCUCUUCAUGGGCAGGUACCCGCUCCUGCCCGCCGGGCAGCAGCCGACUUGGGUCGCGCUCAUGUGCGCUAUCUUCUUCGGCAACCCAGUGCUGCCCGACGGCGCAGCCUCGCCGGAGCUCCGGGGAUUCGUUGCCGCGUGCCUGCAAAAGGACUACCGCAAGAGGGCGUCCAUCGUGGAGCUGCUUGCUCACCCAUUCGUCGCCGUGAGGGACGUGGCAGCGUCGAAACACACACUAUGGAAGCUAUUCACCGACGCCUCGUCGUCGUUGUAG